Molecule: transfer RNA, 72 nt
Filed under: Iningainema tapete BLCC-T55
Lineage: Bacteria; Bacillati; Cyanobacteriota; Cyanophyceae; Nostocales; Scytonemataceae
Rfam family: tRNA
About the family: Transfer RNA (tRNA) molecules are approximately 80 nucleotides in length. Their secondary structure includes four short double-helical elements and three loops (D, anti-codon, and T loops).
Source: Rfam by way of RNAcentral
GGGGGUGUAGCUCAAUGGCUAGAGCGUUCCUGUCUUUUGGAAAAGUUGCGGGUUCGAGUCCCGUCACCCUCG